AAGCUUCGUCCAAUAGCACUGAGAAAUUCUGCUAUGAAAGAUGAUCGAUAUUACACUUGGCUGUAUAUGACCGUCUCAGUUCUGAUCCAACCUCCAAGGCAGUCCACAUGUCUGCUCUUCUAGGACCUGCAUCCUGUGUACAAAGGCAAUUGUGGCAUAAUGGGAAGAGUGCUGAACAUGGACUAAGAGGACACAGUAUGUUGCUUCUAGGGAAGAGGAACCAUGCUAUAAUGGAGUCCCAAGGAUUUUGAAAAGAACAAAAGAAUAGUAAUAGAAGAAUGUAAGG
Molecule: long non-coding RNA, 286 nt
Filed under: Ictidomys tridecemlineatus (thirteen-lined ground squirrel)
Lineage: Eukaryota; Metazoa; Chordata; Mammalia; Rodentia; Sciuridae
Description: lncRNA (ENSSTOG00000029268.1)
Source: RNAcentral